CCUACGGGAGGCAGCAGUAGGGAAUAUUGCUCAAUGGGGGCAACCCUGAAGCAGCAACGCCGCGUGGAGGAUGACUGUUUUCGGAGUUUAAACUCCUUUUUUUAGAGAAGUUAAUGACGGUAUCUAUCGAAUAAUCACCGUCUAACUCCUUUCCAGCAUCCGCUGUAAUACGGAGGGUGCCAGCGUUACUCGGAAUCACUGUGCGUAAAGGGAGCGUAGACGGGAUAGCAAGUCAGUAGUGAAAUUCUACGGCUUAACCUUAAAAUUGCAAUUGAUACGGUUAUUCUUGAGUAUGGGGGAGGUAGGGGGAAUUCGUGGUGUAGGGGUAAAAUGCGUAGAGAUCAAGAAGAAUUCCGAUUGCGAAGGCAGCUUGCUAAA
Molecule: ribosomal RNA, 378 nt
Filed under: uncultured bacterium
Lineage: Bacteria
Description: partial 16S ribosomal RNA
Rfam family: Bacterial small subunit ribosomal RNA
Source: RNAcentral